Long non-coding RNA from Bos taurus (domestic cattle), 3084 nucleotides. NCBI's taxonomy places the organism in Eukaryota, Metazoa, Chordata, Mammalia, Artiodactyla, Bovidae. The record is from Ensembl.
GCUGGCAGGUUCUAGGCUAGAUGCCAGGAUUCCUUGCAAUCUAGACCAGGGAUCUCUCCAGUAACGACCCCAGCCUUGAAUCCUCUACUGACUGGCUUUGAGGAUGGGGGAUUUGCAUCCUGCUGCCAGCUCUGAGACUCACUCCCAGUCUUGGGUCAGUGUCCAGGUUUGCAGACACCAAUGCAAAGGAGGACUGGCGUGUGCAGCUUAUAGGAAUUCAGGAGCCACCUGUUAGCGGGCACCUCUGUCGUGCCAGGCACCAUACUAGGCUUCUGGGCAUCUGGCACAGCACACACGAUUUUAUUUGUUCUUCACCCAAAUACUACAAUGAGAAUCUUCCUGUUUCCACGGUCAUGAGAAGGAGCUCAGCAACACAUUCAGCAUCAGUCAGCGGAAAAGUGUUGGAGCUGGGUUUAAUGCUGAUUCUCUUCGGUUACCUUGCACAUGAGAAUCUUAAAAGAGAAACCAAGUCCCGACACCUCUCCAAGGUUUAGGAAAAGCUAUUAGGGACGAGGCUGGACUGGGACAUCUGUCCACUUGGGAGAAACAGGGCUGCCCUGUGGGGAACCCUAUGUCCCGUGGCUGCUCUGCCCUAGGGUUAGGGUGCUGUGUUGUGGGAGGGUACUAAGUGGCCCUGGCUCCAGGGCUAAGAGGGCCUCUCCUUCUCUUGGUUCCGGGAGCCGUGACUUCACUGUGUGCUACCAGCUGUGGUGAGCAGUAGGGAGAGUCCAGUCCAGUCCUGAGUGCAACCCCCAGAUGGUUGAUCCCGGAGGCCAGGUGCACGAUGGAUGUCUGUAGUUACCAGAGCCUGGCAUUUGGGGGCUCUUGAAUGCAACUCACUAAGGUGAUACUGGAAAGUCUCUCGAGUGCCUUGAGGUUGGUUGUUGGGCAUCUGAGGAGGAGCGCUCAGCCUUAGGAGCAGACAGUCUGGCCUCUGCAGACAUCCUCUGUUCACCCAGGAAGGGGCUGGGCCACCACACUGCAUCCUUCUGCCUGGCCGUCCCCUCCGCCCCUCCUCCACCUUAUAUAAUGGCACAUUAUACAACAUUGCAAAGCAGGUGGUAUUUUUAAAGACAGCAAGUGAGCAUUUUUUUGGCCUAAAUUUGGGAAUGAAACAGAUGGAUUUUUAAGACUCUGAGCUUUUCCUAUGAAUAGUAACCCUUGUUCUCCUCUGCUUUUAAACACCAGUUUCAAGACCACCUCUAGCAACCAAUCAGCACUCUAUUUAAUUAUAACAAAAUUCUUAGCUCUGUCUGCUGCUGCUCGGACAAGUGGGGGGCACUGGAUCAAUUUCUGGAGCCAGGCAGACUUGCCAACAACAAUUUUCUUUUUCCCAGAGGGCCUCGGAGGCCGGCAGCAGGUUCCAAGCCCUUCCUCUCCUGCCCGCUCGGCGUGGGCUCCUUGACAGCGAGUUUGAAAAGGGUUACAGAGAGGCAGAUAAAUGCCCGGCUUGUUGCAGCCUUCCUGACAGCGCCGACCCCCGCGCCAGUGAGCUCAUGCCCGCCUCAUUACGCGUGGUGCCAGAUUUUUUCCAUUAACAGGUAAUUGAGUAGAAACUAAAAUAAGCGAAGUUUGUUCAUCCCUUGGAUUUUCUUGCCGGGGUUUGAAAGAAAAACACUUUAGCUUCGUUAGUGGAGGAGUGUCCUUGAAAACGUAUUUAUGUUUUCCAAGUGAUUUGUCGCUUGGUAGGUGUAAUGAGCCCGUUCCCCUGGCCUCUCCCUUCUUGUUUUUCUUCUUUAAGGGCCAUGAUGUUCAGAGAAUAGGAGCUGGUUUCCUGGGCCCCUGGCUGUCUGUAUGCUCUGUUCAUGGUAGAGAGCUUAUUUUUCUCUCUUCUCUCUCCCUAUUGCACUCGCAUGGUGUGCGUGCACACACACCCUGGAAAAUCACCCAUAGAAGCCUGUUGAUGGAUCACACAGUCUUAGCCUGCAACCUACAGGGCCCAGCUGUCAGGUGCCCUCAGGACGACUGGCCCCGCCCCCAGGGGCCCCAGGCUGGCCCCGCCCCCAAGCGUCCCAGGCCAGCCCCGCCCCCGUCUCCGUGCCCUGCGCCUGCGCGCAGGUGCUCCAGGUGGAUGGCCUGCCCCUCUGAGGGGCAUUCAGAAGCAAAGCGAGGAACAGAUGUGUGAGCCCUGAGGUCUCCAGUCUUCCUGUUUCCCAUCUUGCUGGGCUCCUAUCUCAGCUGGUCUGUUUUCAGCUUCAUGAAGAAGAUUCCUCAUCACUGCCCAGCCCCAAGUUCUCCGUUAGGGUUGGAGCUUCGGAUGAGAUGUGUGUGUGUGUUUGGUACUUGAAAUACAGAGAAAGAGACCGUCAAGUGGAAUUAAGACACUGAGCCUGUUUCCGGGAAGCCCAGUGAGAUGGAAAUGCUUGGGCCAGCGACGGACACGUGGAGUCUGUUCCAUGAACACGGGUUGUCAUUACUGCUCCUGUUGCCCUGUGCUGUCUGGGGCAGGAGAGAGAAGGACCCUGACCAAGGGCAGUGUUCUAGGACGAGAAGACCAUGGCCCACAUGAUAUGCUUUUGGAAGGCCGCAAGACUCAAAUUUGCACAGUGCCCCCAAGGCCUAGACCCGUGCCAUGGAAUUGUUCAGGGUGGCCCUGAAGACAUUUCAGUCUCCCCAGACCCCUGUUCAAGCGCAGACACCCCAGGGGAGGGCUGAUGGCUUCAGCCCUCUCAGCUGAGGCCCAGAGAGAGAGAGGCCUUGGGAGGACACAGGUGGGCUCAAGGGCAGGUGAUGUCCCCAGAGCCUGAAACUUGGCCUCUGGCCCCCAUUCCUGAGCCCAGCAUGCAGAUCCACUUUUUUGGCCUUGAAUUAUCCUGGCUAAAGGCAGACAUUGGAAAAGAUUAUUUAUAAAAAGGUCUUGGAACGAGAAAUGAUUUCUAUUUUGCUAAUGCGAUAUUUUUGAGUGAGAAACAGAAAAGAGGGGAUGAAUGGGUGAGGGAGUGAAUGAAGGGCAAGAAACUCAGAAGCUCUUGUAGAUUCAUACAGUUUGUCUUCAAAUCCACCCACCAUUCCAUCUCCUCUUCCUCUUGUUUCAGAGGGACAGUAACUGAGUCUAGUGACCAAGGAGCUGGGCCAGACCACUUC